RNAcentral lists this ribosomal RNA (465 nucleotides) under Vreelandella stevensii. Its description in RNAcentral is "partial 16S ribosomal RNA". It matches the Rfam family "Bacterial small subunit ribosomal RNA", at positions 338 to 795 of the family's 1533-position model. The record is from RNAcentral. Lineage: Bacteria; Pseudomonadati; Pseudomonadota; Gammaproteobacteria; Oceanospirillales; Halomonadaceae.
CCUACGGGCGGCAGCAGUGGGGAAUAUUGGACAAUGGGGGCAACCCUGAUCCAGCCAUGCCGCGUGUGUGAAGAAGGCCCUCGGGUUGUAAAGCACUUUCAGUGAGGAAGAACGCCUGGUGGUUAAUACCCAUCAGGAAAGACAUCACUCACAGAAGAAGCACCGGCUAACUCCGUGCCAGCAGCCGCGGUAAUACGGAGGGUGCGAGCGUUAAUCGGAAUUACUGGGCGUAAAGCGCGCGUAGGUGGCUUGAUAAGCCGGUUGUGAAAGCCCCGGGCUCAACCUGGGAACGGCAUCCGGAACCGUCAAGCUAGAGUGCAGGAGAGGAAGGUAGAAUUCCCGGUGUAGCGGUGAAAUGCGUAGAGAUCGGGAGGAAUACCAGUGGCGAAGGCGGCCUUCUGGACUGACACUGACACUGAGGUGCGAAAGCGUGGGUAGCAAACAGGAUUAGAUACCCGAGUAGUC